AUUAAGUUCAUUUAAUUUUAUUGUAGUUUAAGUGUAAAUUAAUUUUUGGUUUAAUAAUUUUUAAAAUAAAUUAUUUAUAAAUUUGACUGUGGAGGAUAGAAGGUGUAAAUAUUUAUAUAAUUUUUAAUAAGGAAAUUUUUUUAUUGUACCUUUUGUAUCAGGGUUUAUUAAUUUUUUUUAAGGAAUUUAAUUUUCCCGAAAUUCUAAGAUUUUAAUUUUUUUUGGCUUUAAUUGUUACAAAAAUUUUGAUAAAAUAAAUUAAGAUUCGAAAUGAAAAUCGUUUAGUCUGAUAUCUGGUUAUUUUGUAAUUAAAUUUAAUUUAGGUGAUUCUUGUAUAAAAUUUCUUUUUUAAAAUAUUUUUUGUCACAAAUUUAAUUUAGGUUAAUCUAAUUUAAUUUUUAUAAUUUUUUUAUUGGGGGGGGGUAAAGAAAUUGUAGGAUUAAAAUUUUUUUUCUUAAUAAAUUUGUUUUAAAUUAUUCUUUUUAUAAAAGUUAUUUAAUUUUUCACAAAAUUUUUAUAUCAAAUUAUUUUUAUUAAAAAUUAUGAUUAAAUUAGUAAAUUUAAAUUUUUGUUAUAUGAAUUAGGCAAUUUUUUUUUCUGUCUGUUUAUCAAAAACAUUUCUUUUAGGUUAAUAUUAAAAGUUAGGCCUGCUCAGUGAAUUUUAUUUAAAUAGCUGCAGUAUUUUAACUGUACAAAGGUAGCAUAAUAAAUAGUCUUUUAAUUGAGGUCUAGAAUGAAGGGUUUAACAAGAAAAAUACUUUAUUUGAUUUAAAUAUUUGAAUUUAAUUUUUUAGUUAAAAAGCUAAAAUUUUUAAAUGGGACGAUAAGACCCUAUAGAUCUUUAAAUUUUUAAUAUUAAAUAUAUUUUAGUUAAUUUAAGAUUUUAGAUAAAAAUUUUUUGUUGGGGUGACAAAUAAAAUUUUAAGACUUUAUUUCUUUGAAACAUAUAUUUAUGGUUAAGAUGAUCCUAAUUUUUUGGAUUAUAAGGAUAAGAUACCUUAGGGAUAACAGCGUUAUAAAUUUGUAUAGUUCACAUAAAUAAAUUUUUUACGACCUCGAUGUUGAAUUAAUUAAAAUUCUUGGAGCAGAAGUUAAGAUUUUAGGUCUGUUCGACCUUUAAAAUAUUACAUGAUUUGAGUUCAAACCGGUGUGAGCCAGGUUGGUUUCUAUCUAUUUAAAUUUAGUUUAAUUAGUACGAAAGGACUUUUAAAUUUGGAAUAUUUUCU
Molecule: ribosomal RNA, 1226 nt
Filed under: Cemus sauteri
Lineage: Eukaryota; Metazoa; Arthropoda; Insecta; Hemiptera; Delphacidae
Description: 16S ribosomal RNA
Rfam family: Archaeal large subunit ribosomal RNA (bases 1004-1161)
Source: RNAcentral